Molecule: ribosomal RNA, 421 nt
Filed under: uncultured bacterium
Lineage: Bacteria
Description: bacterial SSU rRNA
Rfam family: Bacterial small subunit ribosomal RNA
Source: RNAcentral
AUUUUGGACAAUGGGCGCAAGCCUGAUCCAGCCAUGCCGCGUGCAGGAUGAAGGCCUUCGGGUUGUAAACUGCUUUUGUACGGAACGAAAAGGUGCCUUCUAAUAAAGGGCGCUCAUGACGGUACCGUAAGAAGAAGCACCGGCUAACUACGUGCCAGCAGCCGCGGUAAUACGUAGGGUGCGAGCGUUAAUCGGAAUUACUGGGCGUAAAGCGUGCGCAGGCGGUUUUGUAAGACAGAUGUGAAAUCCCCGGGCUUAACCUGGGAACUGCGUUAGUGACUGCAAGGCUGGAGUACGGCAGAGGGGGGUGGAAUUCCACGUGUAGCAGUGAAAUGCGUAGAGAUGUGGAGGAACACCGAUGGCGAAGGCAGCCCCCUGUGCCUGUACUGACGCUCAUGCACGAAAGCGUGGGGAGCAAACA